Lontra canadensis (Northern American river otter) is the source of this 126-nucleotide long non-coding RNA. RefSeq lists it as uncharacterized. The record is from RefSeq and is a predicted model, not a curated record. The transcript has 3 exons. Lineage: Eukaryota; Metazoa; Chordata; Mammalia; Carnivora; Mustelidae.
CCUUCUGCCACAGAGCUCUUGGCCCUGGGUCUCACGCUGUAGCACAGGUCCACCUCCUAGCAAAUUGUUUGGAAUGAACAUGAGAAAUGUUUGAAUUUUCAUCUCUCCCUCCAGGCUGAAGAACUU